Molecule: ribosomal RNA, 461 nt
Filed under: uncultured bacterium
Lineage: Bacteria
Description: partial 16S ribosomal RNA
Rfam family: Bacterial small subunit ribosomal RNA
Source: RNAcentral
CCUACGGGUGGCAGCAGUGAGGAAUAUUGGUCAAUGGACGAAAGUCUGAACCAGCCAUGCCGCGUGCAGGAUGACGGCUCUCUGAGUUGUAAACUGCUUUUGUAUUGGGGUAAACACCCCUAAGUGUAUGGGCUUGCCAGUAUCAUACGAAUAACGAUAGGCUAACUCCGUGCCAGCAGCCGCGGUAAUACGGAGGAUCCAAGCGUUAUCCGGAUUUCUUGGGUUUAAAGGGUGCGUAGGCGGUUGGAUAAGUUAGAGGGGAAAUACCGGUGCUGAACCCCGGAACUGCCUCUAAUACUGGUGAACUAGAGAGUAGUUGCGGUAGGCGGAAUGUAUGGUGUAGCGGUGAAAUGCUUAGAGAUCAUACAGAACACCGAUUGCGAAGGCAGCUUACCAAACUAUAUCUGACGUUGAGGCACGAAAGCGUGGGUAGCAAACAGGAUUAGAUACCCCUGUAGUCC